Molecule: ribosomal RNA, 698 nt
Filed under: uncultured Neisseriales bacterium
Lineage: Bacteria; Pseudomonadati; Pseudomonadota; Betaproteobacteria; Neisseriales
Description: bacterial SSU rRNA
Rfam family: Bacterial small subunit ribosomal RNA
Source: RNAcentral
GAAGCUUGCUUCUUGGGUGGCGAGUGGCGAACGGGUGAGUAAUAUAUCGGAACGUACCGAGUAAUGGGGGAUAACUAAUCGAAAGAUUAGCUAAUACCGCAUAUUCUCUGAGGAGGAAAGCAGGGGACCUUCGGGCCUUGCGUUAUUCGAGCGGCCGAUAUCUGAUUAGCUAGUUGGUGGGGUAAAGGCCUACCAAGGCGACGAUCAGUAGCGGGUCUGAGAGGAUGAUCCGCCACACUGGGACUGAGACACGGCCCAGACUCCUACGGGAGGCAGCAGUGGGGAAUUUUGGACAAUGGGCGCAAGCCUGAUCCAGCCAUGCCGCGUGCCUGAAGAAGGCCUUCGGGUUGUAAAGGACUUUUGUCAGGAAGAAAAGGCUGUUGCUAAUACCGACAGCUGAUGACGGUACCUGAAGAAUAAGCACCGGCUAACUACGUGCCAGCAGCCGCGGUAAUACGUAGGGUGCGAGCGUUAAUCGGAAUUACUGGGCGUAAAGCGAGCGCAGACGGUUACUUAAGCAGGAUGUGAAAUCCCCGGGCUCAACCUGGGAACUGCGUUCUGAACUGGGUGACUAGAGUGUGUCAGAGGGAGGUAGAAUUCCACGUGUAGCAGUGAAAUGCGUAGAGAUGUGGAGGAAUACCGAUGGCGAAGGCAGCCUCCUGGGAUAACACUGACGUUCAUGCUCGAAAGCGUGGGUA